AGAAGCUUAGGAUAAAACUCAAACCAGUGGCCUUCAACACCACAAAUAAGAAUAAAACUCUUAGCUUCUG
This 70-nucleotide transfer RNA is filed under the name Phrynocephalus scutellatus. Its description in RNAcentral is "tRNA-Trp". The record is from RNAcentral. Lineage: Eukaryota; Metazoa; Chordata; Lepidosauria; Squamata; Agamidae.